UUGGUUAAGUUAGAAAGGGCGCACGGUGGAUGCCUUGGCACUAGGAGCCGAAGAAGGACGGGACUAACACCGAUAUGCUUUGGGGAGCUGUACGUAAGCGUUGAUCCAGAGAUUUCCGAAUGGGGGAACCCACUAUCUUUAGUCGGAUAGUAUCCUUACGUGAAUACAUAGCGUGAGGAAGGCAGACCCAGGGAACUGAAACAUCUAAGUACCUGGAGGAAGAGAAAGAAAAAUCGAUUUCCUGAGUAGCGGCGAGCGAAACGGAAAGAGCCCAAACCAAGAAGCUUGCUUUUUGGGGUUGUAGGACACUCUAUACGGAGUUACAAAAGAAAGUUAUAAAUGAAGCGGUCUGGAAAGGCCCGCCAAAGACGGUAACAGCCCGGUAGUUGAAAUGGCUUUCCCUCCAGAGUGGAUCCUGAGUACGGCGGAACACGUGAAAUUCCGUCGGAAUCCGGGAGGACCAUCUCCCAAGGCUAAAUACUCCCUAGUGACCGAUAGUGAACCAGUACCGUGAGGGAAAGGUGAAAAGCACCCCGGAAGGGGAGUGAAACAGUUCCUGAAACCGUGUGCCUACAAGUAGUUAGAGCCCGUUAAUGGGUGAUAGCGUGCCUUUUGUAGAAUGAACCGGCGAGUUACGAUUUGUUGCAAGGUUAAGCGGAAAAAGCGGAGCCGUAGCGAAAGCGAGUCUGAAUAGGGCGCAUAAGUAACAGGUCGUAGACCCGAAACCAGGUGAUCUACCCAUGUCCAGGAUGAAGGUAAGGUAAUACUUACUGGAGGUCCGAACCCACGCACGUUGAAAAGUGCGGGGAUGAGGUGUGGGUAGCGGAGAAAUUCCAAUCGAACUUGGAGAUAGCUGGUUCUCUCCGAAAUAGCUUUAGGGCUAGCCUCGAGGUAAAGAGUCAUGGAGGUAGAGCACUGUUUGGACUAGGGGCCCUUCUCGGGUUACCGAAUUCAGAUAAACUCCGAAUGCCAUGUACUUAUACUCGGGAGUCAGACUGCGAGUGAUAAGAUCCGUAGUCGAAAGGGAAACAGCCCAGACCACCAGUUAAGGUCCCCAAAUAUAUGUUAAGUGGAAAAGGAUGUGGGGUUGCUUAGACAACCAGGAUGUUGGCUUAGAAGCAGCCACCAUUGAAAGAGUGCGUAAUAGCUCACUGGUCGAGUGACCCCGCGCCGAAAAUGUACCGGGGCUAAACAUAUUACCGAAACUGUGGAUGAACCUCUUUAGAGGUUCGUGGUAGGAGAGCGUUCUAAGGGCGGUGAAGUCAGACCGGAAGGACUGGUGGAGCGCUUAGAAGUGAGAAUGCCGGUAUGAGUAGCGAAAGAAGGGUGAGAAUCCCUUCCACCGAAUAUCUAAGGUUUCCUGAGGAAGGCUCGUCCGCUCAGGGUUAGUCGGGACCUAAGCCGAGGCCGAUAGGCGUAGGCGAUGGACAACAGGUAGAGAUUCCUGUACCAGUGCUAAUUGUUUAACCGAUGGGGUGACACAGAAGGAUAGGGAAUCGCACGAAUGGAAAUGUGCGUCCAAGCAGUGAGUGUGAG
This 1536-nucleotide ribosomal RNA is filed under the name Listeria monocytogenes. Its description in RNAcentral is "partial 23S ribosomal RNA". It matches the Rfam family "Bacterial large subunit ribosomal RNA", at positions 1 to 1529 of the family's 2925-position model. The record is from RNAcentral. Lineage: Bacteria; Bacillati; Bacillota; Bacilli; Caryophanales; Listeriaceae.